UCUGACAACUGAAAAGAUUUUUUAAAUUUAAUUAAAAAUAUACAGUAAGUACUUAACGUAUUUUCUUUGUUAGGCAAAAAAAAGAGCAAGUACCAGAUGGUCGAAAUUCGAAUAAGAACCGCGGUUACUCUUUUGGUUGACAACUUUGACAGGGUAUUCCACACGACAUGCGUCAACGUCUGGUGCCAAAAGGAGUUCAUGUGGAAACUAUUAUGAAGACUGCACGGUGGUCGUCGAAAUCACCGGAUUUUUCCAACUUGAAACCCAAACAAUUGUCCUCUGGUGGAUUCUACUGUUUUUGCAAGAACAAUCUUUAGCUGUAUUAAAUGAAAAUGUAUAAUUUGUUUUUAUAAGAGACAUUUUUAAAUGUUUCUCUUAAGGCCUCCUUUUGUUUCAUUUUUUAGCAAAGAGCAACAAUAAAUAUUACAUAUAUACUGUU
Anthonomus grandis grandis is the source of this 439-nucleotide long non-coding RNA. RefSeq lists it as uncharacterized. NCBI's taxonomy places the organism in Eukaryota, Metazoa, Arthropoda, Insecta, Coleoptera, Curculionidae. The record is from RefSeq and is a predicted model, not a curated record. The transcript is spliced from 2 exons.